RNAcentral lists this long non-coding RNA (1085 nucleotides) under Nicotiana benthamiana. Its description in RNAcentral is "long non-coding RNA (NBEN_LNC008675)". Lineage: Eukaryota; Viridiplantae; Streptophyta; Magnoliopsida; Solanales; Solanaceae. The record is from RNAcentral.
GCUUACAGAAAAUGAGCUGAAAAUACACAGAAUUUUAGAGAUUUCAGAGAUCGGAUUGGAAGAGCUAAAAGUAGAGAAAAUAGGCAGCUGAAAACUUCAAAAAAAAUUCACUGUUCUAUUAGAAAAAUCCCUGAAAUUCCUAAGAUGUUCAUUCUGAAAUACUUCAUGAAAAACUGAAGGUUUAAAAUGAGUUGAAUCUGCUUGGUAUUCAAGCGCUCAGGUCAUUUUUUGGUUGAUUUUUUAAUUGUUGGACUUAAUUGAAUGUUGUUGCUGGUUCGAAAUUGUUUCAAAGUUGAUCAUUCCUUAUUUACUCCUGGGCAAAUACCUGUGUUGUUGCUACUUUGCAUUGAGAUGAACCCACUGAUCCUUAGAUUUUCUUUAUAUCUAUUCUUUUCUAGGUAUUCAUCUUACCUUCAAUAUAUGCAAAUGGAUGAAAGUAAAGAUCAGUUCAUUUGAAUAGAGAUUUAUGCCCCAAGUAGUUGUUAUUCAAUGUUUCUGUACCCUUAAAGUUGUUUAGAUUAGCUUGAUCUUCUUAUAAUUCUUCAUACUUGUUCUGAAUAUGGAUUGCUGCGGUGGUAUUAAUUUAGUUAUUCAAGGAUUGCUUGGAAGUUGUUCAUAUCCCUGAGAUUGGAUUAUUAGUCUGCUUGACAAUCAGUAUAUAAGUCAGUUUUCAGAUUCAUCUUGUUGAAAGGAAUAUGCCCAAAGUUAAGUUAUCCAUGUGAUUGUGUAGUUAUGUGUCUCAGUAGUUUAUUUUAAUUUUAAUAUGUGAAUAAGCACCAUAAAAAUGUGUCAGAUUAAGAUGCAUGGAUGAAGGUUUUGCAAAAUUGUUAAGUUCAAUUAGAAUUUGGUUUUGUACAUGCAUGGAUGAAGGUUUGAAUUUUGGGUUAAUCGCUUCAGUAAUAUGCUAGUUUGGUACUGCCCUACUUCCGCCUGAGUUUUCUGAAUGUUGGAAAAUUGUGAAUCAAAUUGAUUUUGAAAAAUGGAGAGUUCAGUGGGUUUUUUUUUUGCACUCGUUUUCCUAAGGAAUUGUGUCAAUGUCUUGAUUUCAUAUAUUAUGUGUGUGAAUGGGAAUUCAACCUUAAGCA